GACAGCCUGGAAUGCUCGUAACCUUUCAAUUUUUGAACCAACAUGACGUAAACGGGAGUCUGGAGUCAGUGUGGAAUACGGUCAGGUCUCCAAGCUUAGGCUUGCCAGAGAAAGACUCGAAACCACCGCAGGACACCCACCUGGCAAGAUGCUAGGUGUCAAAAAGGAAGGAACGGCAUCCCGGGUCUUUU
RNAcentral lists this non-coding RNA (191 nucleotides) under Clostridia bacterium. Its description in RNAcentral is "6S RNA". It matches the Rfam family "6S / SsrS RNA". Rfam says of the family: E. coli 6S RNA was the first non coding RNA to be sequenced, but its function was unknown until recently. It consists of 184 nucleotides that fold into an extended hairpin structure with a large single-stranded internal bulge. The 6S RNA specifically associates with RNA polymerase holoenzyme containing the sigma70 specificity factor. The record is from RNAcentral. Lineage: Bacteria; Bacillati; Bacillota; Clostridia.